This 75-nucleotide microRNA precursor is filed under the name Mustela putorius furo (domestic ferret). RNAcentral's name for it is "miRNA (ENSMPUG00000021711.1)". The record is from RNAcentral. Lineage: Eukaryota; Metazoa; Chordata; Mammalia; Carnivora; Mustelidae.
GGGGGGGGGGGGGGGGGGGGGGGGGGGGGGGGGGGCGGGGGAGGGCAUGUCCCAGCGCUGCCGCUGACAAGCAAC